AAGCAAGGGGUAAGGAACAGAAACCACUCUCCAGUCUGAAACUGUAUGGCCUUCAAGGCAGGGAGAGGAAUUACUUACCAUGGCGUGAAGAGAUGUAAUGAGUAAGAUGAUAAAGGCAGAGUUAUGCUGAAUGGAGGAAAAUUUUCCUGUUGUAUGUGUUUUUUUAUGAUAUGCAAAACAACCUCCACAGGAAGGCAAAUGAAACUUUACUAUUUAAGCACUGAAAAAGAGCUGUGACAAGCUCUUACCCAAAUGAACGUGGCACACAUCGGAUCAGACAACUCAUUUUUUAAGUCGCUAUUACCAUUCUGUGGCAAAAGAAAUUUGUAGUAAAACUUGAAGUUAUUUUCAGAAUUCAAUGAGGUGUUUAAAUAGGGCUAUUAAAUUAUAAGUGUUUAAUACACCUAUAAAAUCUAGGUGUUCACCAGGACUGUUAAACACAAGGAGUAGCUGAGGUGCAUUUCAACACCGUGCUGCCAUACAGCAUUCCUGGCCAGGAAUCAGACCAAUAACAACACAUGGUGAGAUCCUCCAGUAAUGCUUGCACAGAACUGCAAAUGUUGUAUCCAGUGCUCCGUGCACAGCCUCUGAAUGUUGAGAUAUGUGCCAUCAGCCCUCCGUGCCCAAUUUUAACUGGUGUGUCUGGAAACAGCUGAGCUGCUGAAGGCACUCACAGGAAGGUGCUCCCACUUGGUUUGGUUUUGCAGCAGUUCUGAGUUCACCUCCCAGGGCUGCAUGAAAGCCUCCUCUUUUGUGCUCGGUGCUUUCAGCCAGAACCAGGAGAUGUUUCUGCUGCAGGGUUCUGCUGUGAUGACUCUGGUUGCUGCACCUGCCCUUGCUGUAAUUAGCCCAGCUGGGGGCACAGGAGCCUGAUUGCCCUGCAGCAGCACCUCCACCCAUUGGGCGGGUAGGACCUACCCCUGAGCCCACCCCUGCCCAGAACCAGUGCCUGCAGGGGCAGGGAGGCAGCAGCUUUGUCCUGCUGCUGCUGGAGCCGCCUUUUGUCCUCUGUUUUGUUAUUGUGACAGAGUGGAGGUGGGGACGAUCAGGUUUUCAGUAGAAGGACCGAAGGAGCUGCCCACAACCCAGCCUUGGCUUCCAGCCUUUGAAGCCCCAGCAGCUCCUCAACUGGAGCAGUUCUGUGAGAUAACUUUGAUUCUCAGUAACAUAGGAAAUGAGCAAAAUAUCUCACUGGUAUCCAGCAACAUGAGCAUUAAGCUGCUGGAGUUCGUUGCCUAAUGGCUGCUGUUCCCCUACGCUCUGUGCCUCAGCUCCUGGCUGCCUUCCUGCCAUACCUGAGUGCUGUGAUGCUCAGCGCCCGUCCCGGCAGUGCUCUGAUUAUUGCUCACCUCCUUCCAGCCUGAGUCGCAUCAGUGAUGCCAGCCCUGUCCUUGGCCUGAUUUGCCGUUUGGUGUGGUGAAUCCUUCUGGGAACAGCCCUUGGGCUUUGGCUGGUGGGGAAGGAUGGGUGUGUGGGCAGAGCUGGCACACGCUCACUGCCCUGCGCCCACUGGAGCAAUGUCUGUAGCUGAAGGACUCUAAAGAGUCUGCAGGAGUGAUACAAGAGUCUGAAGUUGCUCGCUAUUAAUUAGUGGUUAAUAACCACAGCCCAUUUUAACUAAUCCUGAUGUACAAGGAAGCAACAAGGGCUCCUUCCCUGGAGGUAUCACAACCAAAUGGACAAGGUACUUGUAAGAAUUUUCUUCCUAAAUCUGUAUCUGCAGCUGAAGUAGACUGAGGUGACUCCGAAGAUGGCGUGGUUUUUUUCAGUGUGAUUGGUAAAUAGCUCUGACAGCUGUGCAUUGCGGAGCCCCUGCAGCUAUGUUAAUCGUGUGCACUUAAUGUACUUUCCUUGAAUAUUCAUAGCUGAAGUGCUCCCUAUUAGGUUGCCCUGUAAGGCUUCCCCCUCCCGCCCUCAAUACGCAACAGCCUCCAUCGUCUGCUGUCUCUUUUUGUUCUGAGAUAUGGAGCGUGUGCCAUCGUCUGACGUUUAAUUACUGCUGUUACUGACUGCUCAGCGUGCACAGGGUGCUGUGUUAGCUGCUGUGCUCCAGCCCUUAAAUGGGACACAGAAGGCUCUACACACCACUGAAAUGUAUGAAUUAAUGCAGGCGGUCUGCUGGCUGCCCGUGCUGGGGCAUCAUUUAACAUGGGAACCAUGGUCUUUCCUGGGAAAACUGAGCAAAACGUGUUUCUGCUGAAGGAUUAUUGCCCCGAUCCCAUUAUAAGGCUGGGAGUUGGUUUUCAGUGAGGCAUUGCAGGGAAAAAUGAUGAUCAAACAGAGCCUGGCAGAGGUGCUGUGCAUAGAGGUGCUGCUGCAGCCCAGCAGGUAGACUGGUGAGGUUCCACAGCUCCUUCCUGGCACUCUCAGGCACUGUAAAUGACACAGUGGGGUAGGAGGACACGAGUAACGUGAUAUUUGAAUUUAAAAAAAUACAUCUUGCAGCUUGGGUAAGGAUUGAGCAUAGCCUCUUUGACUGGGGGUUGGGACUAGGUGGUCUUUGAGGUCCCUUUCACCCCAAGCCGUUUUAUGAUUCUAUGAUAUGUUUGAAUAACUGCCCUUGGUUAUAAAUUGGAAAAACAGGUCUUUACUGCUGCAGUUUUGGGGUUUUCCUGUGCUGGGGGGCUUUCUGCCCCAACCUCUGUCUCUGCCCCCUAGGGAACCCUGUUGUACAGCAGCAGGCAGAGCUCUGAGGCAGAGAUGCUCCAACAACGGCACACGUGUCCAAAAAGGAUUCUGAACAUUAAUUUUUAACACGUGGCCUCUGCCCUGAUUUCUCUGUGCUGGUACAAACCUGUGGGUAUAAAUAGCUCCACUGACCCAAAUGGGUGUUUUUGGGCACAGCGACAGCACAGGCUCACAGCCUGCUAUUCCAGGUAGAUAUUUCUUUAGGCAUGACUUUGCAUCUGCAGAAUUCUUCCCUUAGAUGUUACGCUAAUAUUGGCCUUGGGAAGCAAACUUCUCCAAAGCAGACUUUAGGGACCGGUGCAUUUAUUGUUUGAAUAUUUAUUUCCCAAAGGUAUGCGUGGCUUAGAAACAUCCAGGAAAUGUUUUUUUCCUUCCUAAGUGGCCUUGUGCAGAAGUCACCUCUCUGUCUUUGGUGGCAGAGCUGGGGAGCCCCAAGUGCAGUGGGGAUGUGGCUCAGGGGGCACAGUGGAGGUGGGUCGGUUGGGCUGAUGAUCCUAG
This 3186-nucleotide long non-coding RNA is filed under the name Meleagris gallopavo (turkey). RNAcentral describes it as "lncRNA (ENSMGAG00000018239.1)". The record is from RNAcentral. Lineage: Eukaryota; Metazoa; Chordata; Aves; Galliformes; Phasianidae.